RNAcentral lists this long non-coding RNA (2451 nucleotides) under Sorghum bicolor (sorghum). RNAcentral's name for it is "long non-coding RNA (SBIC_LNC005677)". Lineage: Eukaryota; Viridiplantae; Streptophyta; Magnoliopsida; Poales; Poaceae. The record is from RNAcentral.
UGACCUAUCCACCACGCUCUGUAUAAAUGGAAUAAUCUCCACAAGUACAGUACACCAUCACAUGCUGGGUCGAAGGCAUGCUCCAAGCCAUACAGUACACACCGAUACACGGGACCUAUCCACCACGCUCUGUAUAAAUGGAAUAAUCUCCACAAGUACAGUACACCAUCACAUGCUGGGUCGAAGGCAUGCUCCAAGCCAUACAGUACACACCGAUACACGGGCGCGCGCCUAGUCACCAAAGCGCAUGCAUAUGCUUCGCCUUCGCCUUCGCCAGGGGGCAAUGCAGAGCGACACUCUGGCCUGGAAAGAAGCGCGGGAUAUAAAAAGGAGAUCUAGCUGUAUGGGACAAUAGGGAAAAGCCUAGAAAAGGAUCGAACAGCGGGCGACCAGUUCGGGGCACCCGCGCUGUGGUGGUAGGCCAAGGAGUAAUUUCGCAACCAAUUCCCACCAGCGGCAGGGAUGGGUUGUGAUUUCUGAAGCGCCUGGGCUAUAAGGUUUGGUCUUUGGCGCACCAGUUCUAAGGUUUUGCUGCUGUUUCCCACUUUCUUGUUGCUAAAAUAAAGCUACUUGUUCCAUUUUCCUUUGGCUUGAGUGAGCUCAUCAUUCCCCCCUUUCCCGUGCUUUUGUCUUUUCGAUGUUCGCUAAGACCUCACCUCACCAUAGGCUUCCCUGCUGCGUCAACUCGUACUCACUUUCUCCGGCCUAAGUUGAGUGUAGAACUAAACUUUCUAGGAGUUGCACACCUCUCAUUGCCUAUUAUAUACAUCUUUCUAGGAAGGGUGGUAUUAUUUUGACUCUCUUGAAGCCCUCCUCCCCCCCUCUCUUCCAUGGGAGACUCCAAAGAAAGAGAACCUCUUCCACGGCUGCUUGAUCUUAUCCCGGAUGGGAAACAAUGUAAGGGGAGGGAAGCACAAGGCGCAGGAAGAUCAUCAAGGAACACAGGCUUUGGGAGCGAGGAGGACAAGCACCUAGAGCUCAAACUCGGUCCUCCGGGUCUCGUCGAACAAGGGGCGACAGCAGCAGCGUCAAGAGGGAUACAGCGAGAGAUUCCGGCUCUCUCGCUUGGUUGCUUCCCACAUAAACCCUCCUCCAAGCCUGCAAUAAACACUACUGCGACUGGGACAAAGAGGGGGUUCUUAGACACCAUUGAGGCCAAAACAGAAGGUACCUAGCACACUUUAGCAGAAUUCUUGUCUUGUGCUCUUGUUUACUAGUAGAGAUCAGGAACAUAGAAACGAAAUACUCUCUUGUUCUGUUGCUCAAAGCUCUAUGAUAGAAAUUUUGUUCUGUUGCCUGAAGAUUGUAAUGAUAUACGUUGUUCUAUUGUUUAAAGGUCGUGAUGAGCAGAAGCAGCAGGCUGGAGCUGGAUGUGGGAAGGAACUAGCACUGGACCAGAAGAUAACAGCCGCGAGCGAGAGAAAGAAAGGAUUCUGCCCGCCAACAUCACAGCAUGCCCCUCCUCCUGCUGCUGCAACUGUGCACGACAGAUCACACGCCCAGGGAAGGUAAUCAUAGACAUAGAGACGCUCUCUUUCUUUCUUUCUUUUUUUCUUUUUCUUUUUUUUUACUUUAAGUCAAAAUGACGACUUAAGGGUUUAACUUUCUUGCUCAAAAGUUGUUCCCUUCAGUUUGUUAAAUCAUAUCAUUUUUUCCCAUAAAAGGUGGUCAACUUUUACUCAAGUGCAAUGAGUUUUUUGGGUGGUUUUAUCAUUUCCUAAACUGGUGGUUUUGAACUUUACGGUGUAGCUUUAGGCCUUGAGCACCUCUUUUGGACUAUGGUCGCUAUGGACCUAUGGUAUUCUUGUUAGCACACAGUUGCGCUAACAUUAUCAAUGGUAUAGUCAGCUAUAAUACUUCAGACAGACUAACUCACCGGCCCAAUUAUCUGGUACAGAAGGUCUUCAGCUCCGGUUGUCGGUUGGCCUCCAGUGAGAUCCUUCAGGAGAAAUCUUGCUCAUGGCAGUUCAUCCAAACAAUCCAUUGAGCCACAAAAUACUGAAGCUAGCAUGAAGGAGAAGCUUGCCUGCAAGAAGAAUCCUCUUGUAAAAAUCAACAUGGAUGGAAUCCCCAUUGGAAGGAAAGUAGACCUUGGAGCCUAUGACAGCUACGAGAGGCUAUCAUUGGGCGUCAAAGAGCUUUUCCAUGGUUUUCUUGAAGGUGCCAAAAUCAACAAUCAGUUCGAAUGAAACAAUUACUUAGAUUCAUUUUAGAGCUUUCAAUUGUGCACCUUUAUUAAGUUCAAAAAAUUUGUGCACCUUUACAACAUGAAAUUGUAAUCUUCUUUCCUUUAACACUGUGUUUUGCCUAUGUUGCAGCUCAAAAGGAUCUAUCUAGUGCUGGAAGUACACAGCCAGGGGCCACUGAAAAAAUAUUUUCUCAAUUAUUGGAUGGAUCUGGUGAAUAUACUCUAGUUUACCAAGACAAUGAAGGAGACAGGAUGCUGGUAGG